CUUAGGCCAGAGUCUAACGGCCCAGCAGGCCAACGACCCCUUCACCUCCCAGCCCCAGGGCGAAAGGGUGGACCGAACAGGGCCCAGGGAUCCUGGGCCAGAGGAGCGGGCUCACACCAGUCCCCAGACCCGCCUCCCGACCUACCCAGGUUUUACCGGCGAGGAAACAGGCUCCAGGACUCCGCUUUGAGGGGAGAGACUCCAACCCCUGUGAGCGGGUGGGGAGGAUAGGGAGGAAGGGGACAAGGGCCGGCAGCGCCGACUUCCAGACUGGACUGUGUAGCGGCGGUCGUGAGAACUGCCGCUGGCUCACGUAUCCUGCACCCACCGGAGGAGAGGUGCUGCCAACAGAGAGAAACAGAGCCACACUGUCCCCACAUAGCAGUAAGAGGAACAGCUGGGCCCAGUCUGGGUUGUACUGCUGGGAAGUGGCUGACUCAACCCCUCCCUGCGGCUACAGCUGGACCCCAGCCCACCCCCUCUGGCCUUAACAUCUGGGCAGGGACCCAGUCAUCAGGGCUGAGAUGGGGACCCUGGGUCCCACAACUGGAGGACAACACCCCUCUGCCAUCCCACUGGCUGGCCACAGCCCUGGGUGGAUCCUGUGCACCAUUACCAUGGAGGAGGACCCUGGAAGGCUCCCUGCAUCCUACAUGCCAACAUCCUGCCAAGAAUUCCUAUCAUGCCCCACUUCUCCCGGUGUCUGUGUGUGUCUUAAGCCUAAGUGAAAAGUGCUCAUAUUUGUGUAGGUGUGAGAUGGUGGGUCUGUGGUUGUAUGUACUUGGGUGUGUGUCUGCUUCCAGUUAUGUCCUGGGACCCUGAAGUUUGUGCAACAAGCUGUGUGUGAUUUGAUGGGAGUCUGGGAUGUGGGAACUAUAACACAUCCCUGUCUGUGUAUAACAUCCAAGGUUAGGAUGACCCAGGAGCCUCUGGAGGGAAUCUCUGUAUGUCCCAUUCAGUUUGCUUGCCUGUGUUGCAUCUACUACAUGCUUCUCUAUAUGGGACCUCACUUUGGGUUUCCAUGUUGUACUUUUGCGAAAAGAGUGUGUGACAGACAAUCAGUGCCUCAUCUUGUAUGACUGACUCUGUUAUGUAUGUCCAUGUCCCUGUGUCCUCGUGGGUUUGUUUCUGUGACUGUAUUCUACUUUGAGCACCCUACUUGUGAUAUCCAUGUGACAGCACAACCGUCAUGUCUAUCUCUACCAUGUGUCUCUGUGCUGCCACAAUCACCACGUGAGAGGUGUGGCUGUGUGACAAAACAAGCUCCAGCGUCCAAGACUUUGUACCAGUUUGUGUUCCACUUUGUCUGUCUUGAAGGUAUUGCUUCAUUCGAAUGUCUGUAACUGCCACCUACCUGUGUAUGAAUAUGGUUCCAUUUGUGUCCCCAUCAAAUGCUAUAUGACUGAUGUGCCUGGUUCACAACAUUCUGCGUCUUCGUCCAUGUGUGACCCUAUCUGUUUCGCUGCAGGGCUGGCUGGGCUAGUGAUGGUUUGUGCCAAUGGGUGGCAGAUGUCUGUGUCCGUGUGGCAUUGUGGGUCUGAAAGUUUGUUUGUGACCUUGUAUGUGGAGGGGAGGAGGUGUUAAAGUCAUAACAGACAGCCAGGCUGAAUGAGCAGAGGCGGUGAUGUACGCAGGGGGCGUCAGGCGCCUGGCAACACUCUGCUUUCCACCCGGAGGGCCCCUCCCCGCGCUGCGGGGGCGCGUGCGUCGUGCGUGACGUGAGACACGACGGGGGUCGCUGCGUGCGUGGAGCUCGACGCGGUUGUGCGUGUGAGCGCGGGGCGGGGAGGGGGGAAAUCGGCUGGCUGCAUGCGUACGCGCCUGUGUGGGUGGCUGGGCGCGUGGGGGCCCGGGGAAGAAGGGGAAUGCUGGUGUAACCCGAGAAGGGGGAGUGGGGUGCACCGUUAACUCCUUCCUGCCCAGCUUGAAACUUUGCGGCCUCUCGACCGAGCUCGCGGGGGCUUCCCCAGUGCGCGUGGGGGGGCAGUCCCUGCUAGGGGAGGAACCCUCACAGAGAUGAAGCCCCCCACCCCCCGUUGCCAUGAGAACCAGAGCUUCCCGUGGGGCCAGGCUCCUGCUUCCUCCUCAUAUCCUGCUCUUCCUCCCGCUCUUCAGUCCCGGGACAAAGCGCUUCCCGCUCCUACGGACCUCCCCAUCCUCCGCCCCCGCCCAGAAGGGGGCUGGGGUCAGCGAGGCCAGGGCGUGAGUGACUCAGGCCAGCCGGGGGUCCCCUGGCCGUAGCUGGCCUCGCUCCUCUUUCUCCACCCCCGUGACUCACCCCUCUCGGCUUUCCCCCUGCAUGACUCAGGUCCUUGGGGAGGGGGCUAAGUACUCUGGGACCCUCCACCAAGGCAGUAGGGGCUGCGAACCAAGUUCUGGGGGCUUCGCUCUCCGGAGGAGGAGCUCCCUUUGCAGCGAGAAGCGGCGUGGUGUCUAUAUCUCCCUGGAGGACUCUCGCUAAGGUCACUAGGGGCGCUUUCUCACCCCCACACACACUCUGCGCCCUGAAUUGGCAAAGCUCUCCCACACACACACCCCGCAGGUCUCCGGGAACCAAGCCCCCAUCCCCUCCCCCCCAGCCCACAGGAAGUUUUGGCAGAGCCCAUCGUGGCGAUGAAACGGUUAAAGCCGUUUUCUUAUUCAUUUCAUCCAGGGGCCCAUUUGACUCAGAUGAGCAAGCCCGCUGCGCCCGCUUGAGCCAGGCCUCAUGGGGGCCUAGGUUCUUACUUCACCCAACAUGUACCAUUUUUAGAGGAGUGGGGGAAAGGUGGUUGGUGAGCCGCCUAGGGGUCUCAGGGUAGCAUACAGAGCUGAGUUUAAAUUCUGUCUCUGCCCUCCUUGCUGUCUGGACCUCAGUUUCUCCAUCUGAAAAUGGAGGAUAGUUAUGUCCUACUGGUUGGGUUGUUACGGGAAUUGAGGUGAAUAAUGGAAUGCUUUGCAUCCAGGGGCAGGGUACAGGAACGGGGUGGGAGCUCCUCUUUUCUCUCAGGCCUGGGUGUCAGGGUGCCCAGUAGAAGUAAGUAUGGUGGGGCAAACCAUGCCCCACCCCGGUGCUCUGAGGCCAUAGGGUUCAUCCUGUCCACCCCCUGCCCAGGGCGGGCACCCAGGAAGUGAGAGGUGGGGCAGGAAUGAGGUGGAACCUGUUAGGCCCGUCGCUUCCCUACCCCCCACUCCCAUUCCGGUGCCCUGACAGGGUUCCCCCAAAAACACUGCAGCACCACCCCUGCUGCCCUGGAAGCCUGGGUCCUGACCUGCGGUUGGCCUGAGGGAGUGGAUAGAGACAGCGUCUCGGGAACAUCCUGUGGACUGCUGGCUGGACAGAGGGAGGGUCAGCCCCUCCCCAGGCAGGGCAGGCAUUGGCUGGGGGCAGAGUAAACAUGGGCCAGGGUGGGGGUAGAAGUACUGUAGGAACGUAUACACACACACACACAUGCACAGAGUCACCCCAAGACAGCCAGUCCAGACCGAUGACCUACUGUUACCCCAGCCACAGAGAGAUUGCCGGCCAGGGACACACGGAGUAAGACAUAACAUCUGUGCAAGAUGCUCCAGAAAUGGCUGCCACACAUAGCCAAUGACAGCAGAUUAAAAAAUGAGACACAUGGCUGGGCGCCAUGCAGCAAGGGUGCCAGCCACACACAUAGGAGUUGGUGGGUUCGAACCCAGACUGGGCUGCCAAACAGCAAUGACAACUACACACAAAAAAAUAGCCGCGCGGGGUGCACCUAUGGCUCAGUGAAUAGGGCGCCAGCCCCAUAUGCCCAGGGUGGCGGGUUCAAACCCAGCCCCGGCAAAACUGCAACAACAAAAUAGCCGGGUGUUGUGGUGGGCACCUGUGGUCCCAGCUACUCUGGAGGCUGAGGCAAGAGAAUCGCCUAAGCCUUGGGUGGCGCCUGUGGCUCAAAGGAGUAGGGUGCCGGCCCCAUGUGCCAGAGGUGGCGGGAUCAAACCCAGGCCCGGCCAAAAACUGCAAAAAAAACCAAAACGGGGCUGCGCCUGUGGCUCAGUCGGAAAGGCGCCGGCCCCAUAUACCGAGGGUGGCGGGUUCAAACCCGGCCCCAGCUGAACUGCAACCAAAAAAUAGCUGGGCGUUGUGGGGGGCACCUGUAGUCCCAGCUACUUGGGAGGCUGAGGCAA
Nycticebus coucang (slow loris) is the source of this 4137-nucleotide long non-coding RNA. RefSeq lists it as uncharacterized. The transcript is spliced from 4 exons. NCBI's taxonomy places the organism in Eukaryota, Metazoa, Chordata, Mammalia, Primates, Lorisidae. The record is from RefSeq and is a predicted model, not a curated record.